RNAcentral lists this ribosomal RNA (247 nucleotides) under Escherichia coli. Its description in RNAcentral is "partial 23S ribosomal RNA". It matches the Rfam family "Bacterial large subunit ribosomal RNA", at positions 2110 to 2356 of the family's 2925-position model. The record is from RNAcentral. Lineage: Bacteria; Pseudomonadati; Pseudomonadota; Gammaproteobacteria; Enterobacterales; Enterobacteriaceae.
CUUGACACUGAACAUUGAGCCUUGAUGUGUAGGAUAGGUGGGAGGCUUGGAAGUGUGGACGCCAGUCUGCAUGGAGCCGACCUUGAAAUACCACCCUUUAAUGUUUGAUGUUCUAACGUUGACCCGUGAUCCGGGUUGCGGACAGUGUCUGGUGGGUAGUUUGACUGGGGCGGUCUCCUCCUAAAGAGUAACGGAGGAGCACGAAGGUUGGCUAAUCCUGGUCGGACAUCAGGAGGUUAGUGCAAUG